RNAcentral lists this transfer RNA (85 nucleotides) under Synechococcus sp. RNAcentral describes it as "tRNA-Ser". It matches the Rfam family "tRNA". Rfam says of the family: Transfer RNA (tRNA) molecules are approximately 80 nucleotides in length. Their secondary structure includes four short double-helical elements and three loops (D, anti-codon, and T loops). Further hydrogen bonds mediate the characteristic L-shaped molecular structure. tRNAs have two regions of fundamental functional importance: the anti-codon, which is responsible for specific mRNA codon recognition, and the 3' end, to which the tRNAs corresponding amino acid is attached (by aminoacyl-tRNA synthetases). tRNAs cope with the degeneracy of the genetic code in two manners: having more than one tRNA (with a specific anti-codon) for a particular amino acid; and 'wobble' base-pairing, i.e. permitting non-standard base-pairing at the 3rd anti-codon position. RNAcentral also lists the same sequence under 9 other names. Lineage: Bacteria; Bacillati; Cyanobacteriota; Cyanophyceae; Synechococcales; Synechococcaceae. The record is from RNAcentral.
GGAGGGGUGGUCGAGUGGUUGAUGGCUCCGGUCUUGAAAACCGGCGAGGUGAAAGCCUCCGUGGGUUCGAAUCCCACCCCCUCCG